RNAcentral lists this ribosomal RNA (253 nucleotides) under uncultured bacterium. Its description in RNAcentral is "partial 16S ribosomal RNA". It matches the Rfam family "Bacterial small subunit ribosomal RNA", at positions 524 to 776 of the family's 1533-position model. The record is from RNAcentral.
UACGAAGGGGGCUAGCGUUGCUCGGAAUCACUGGGCGUAAAGGGUGCGUAGGCGGCCCCGUAAGUCAGUGCUGAAAUAUCCCGGCUUAACCGGGAGGGUGGCAUUGAUACUGCGAGGCUUGAGUAGAGUUGAGGUUGGCGGAAUUGACGGUGUAGCGGUGAAAUGCUUAGAUAUCGUCAAGAACACCGAUAGUGUAGACAGCUAACUAAGCUCAAACUGACGCUGAGGCACGAAAGUGUGGGGAUCAAGCAGG